AGAGUAUAUGGUGGAGAUCUAGGGACCUAGAGCCGAUGAAGGGCGUGAUAACCGACGAUAUGCUUCGGGGAGCAGGACGUAUGCUUUGAUCCGAAGAUUCCCGAAUAGGGCAACCUUAAACAUUCCUUCUUGAAUUCAUAGAGAAGAGAAAGACAACCCAGUGAACUGAAACAUCUUAGUAGCUGGAGGAAAAGAAAGCAAAAGCGAUUCCCAAAGUAGCGGCGAGCGGAAUGGGACCAGUCUAAAAGAAAAAUGUAUUUUUCUGGUUUUUGGACCAAACAUGUAGGUAGAGAAAUUCUUGAGAAACGAAGCAGCUGAAUCCUGCGCCAUAGAUGGUGAAAGCCCAGUCGUUGAAUCUUGACUCAAUGCCGUUUGGCUCCCAAGUAGUAUGGGGCACGUGAAACCCCGUAUGAAUUCGCCAGGACCACCUGGUAAGACUAAAUACUCCUAGGUCACCGAUAGCGAAAAGUACCGCGAGGGAAAGAUGAAAAGAACCCCUUUUCGGGGAGUGAAAUAGAACAUGAAACCGUAUACUUACAAUUGGUAGGAGGAUGAACACAUCUGACUGCAUGCCUGUUGAAGAAUGAUCUGGCGACUUACGGUAAGUGGCAUGGUUAAGAUUUUUCAUCGAAGCCAAAGCGAAAGCAUGUCUGAAUAGGGCACUCGUCCCUUAUCGUAGACCCGAACCCAGGUGAUCUAACCAUGACCAGAAUGAAGCUUUGGUGAUACGAAGUGGAGGUUCGAACCGACCGAUGUUGAAAAAUCGACGGAUGAGUUGUGGUUAGGGGUGAAAUGCCAAUCGAACUUGGAGCUAGCUGGUUCUCCUCGAAAUGCGUUGAGGCGCAGCGGUUAUUUAUGAACUCUCAGGGGGUAAAGCUCUGUUUAGGUGCGGGCUGCGAAAGCGGUACCAAUCUUUUGCAAACUCGGAAUACCUGAGAUGAUUUCAAAUAGCCAGUGAGACUAUGGGGGACAAGCUUCAUAGUCGAAAGGGAAACAGCCCAGACCAUCAGCUAAGGCUCCUAAAUAAAAGCUAAGUGGUAAAGGAGGUGAAAAUGCUGUGACAAUCAGGAGGUUUGCCUAGAAGCAGCCACCCUCUAAGGAGUGCGUAAUAGCUCACUGAUCAAGCGUUUUUGCGCCGAAAAUUUCCGGAACUAAGUUUUUUGCCGAAGCUAUGGAUAUAUUAUCUACAUAAUAUGUGGUAGAGGAGCGUUCCGCCCAGGGAGAAGCCAAGCGCGUAAGCCGCGGUGGACCGGGCGGAAGUGAGAAUGUCAGAUUGAGUAACGAAAACACUAGUGAGAAUCUAGUGCCCCGAAAACGUAAGGGUUCCUCUGCAAGGCUCGUCCUCAGAGGGUCAGUCAGGACCUAAGGUGAGGCCGAAAGGCGUAAUCGAUGGAAAGUAGGCUUAUAUUCCUACACCGUUAUUUUAUUAGUCCUGAGGGACGAACAAAUGAAGUCAAAGAAAAAUGCCACCUUGGCAGGUGGACUCCCAUAUUUCUUCUUUCUCCAUUUUUUCCAAGAAAAGCUCAUCGACUUUGAUAAAAUAAUGCCUGUACCGUAAACCGACACAGGUACGUGGGUUGAAUAAACUAAGGGGAGCGAGAUAACUCUCUCUAAGGAACUCGGCAAAUUGGCUCUGUACCUUCGGAAGAAAGAGUGCCCUGCAUAAGGGCCGCAGUGAAGAGAUCCAGGCGACUGUUUACCAAAAACACAGGUCUCCGCAAAGUCGUAAGACGAUGUAUGGGGGCUGACACCUGCCCAGUGCCAGAAGGUUAAAGAAGUUGGUUAGUUUCGACAAAGCUGACGACUGAAGCCCUGGUGAACGGCGGCAGUAACUAUAACUGUCCUAAGGUAGCGAAAUUCCUUGUCGGGUAAGUUCCGACCCGCACGAAAGGUGUAACGAUCUGGAUACUGUCUCAGAGAGAGGCUCGGUGAAAUAAAAAUAUCUGUGAAGAUGCGGAUUACCUGCACGCGGACAGAAAGACCCUAUGAAGCUUUACUGUAACCUGGAAUUGCUCUCAAGCUUAUUUUGCGCAGCUUAGGUGGGAGACGUUGAACUUCUUUUUCCGGAAAGGAGGGAGUCAUCAGUGAGAUACCACUCUUGGUAAGCUAGAGCGCUCAUUUCUAACCGUUAUCCGGUAGAAAGACAGUUUCA
RNAcentral lists this ribosomal RNA (2152 nucleotides) under marine metagenome. Its description in RNAcentral is "bacterial LSU rRNA". It matches the Rfam family "Bacterial large subunit ribosomal RNA", at positions 14 to 2259 of the family's 2925-position model. The record is from RNAcentral.